CCGAGUGGCGGCCGGGGGCAAGCGAGGCGCGACAUGGCGGCGCGGCCGGCGGGCCCGGGCGGCCCCUCGCGUGCGGGAGGGGGCGGGGCGAGGCGCGGCCCGACCGACGACGGGGGCGCUUUCUGCCGGGCGGCGCCGGGACUACACUUCCCAGAGGGCCCCGCGCGCCGCGCGAGACGAGAAAACCCUUCCGGCGCAGUGCGCAGGCGCGAGAGUUCCGCCUGCUAUAUAAGGCAAGUCUCGAGCGUCUCUGGCCUUUCGUUUUCGCGGCGCGCCGCGGUAUGUUCACUUUCUCAUCUCCUCCCGUCGCGGGCCGCCCCGCACUGGGCAUGGCAACGCUGGCCGCAGGACGCGGUGCCGGGAGCGGACGGCGUGGACCUCGCGGGGGGCUCCCGGGGGAUCGCCUGCGCGCCCGUCUUGGGGCUCAGGUAUGAAGCGGACUGGCAUGGGUCCGGAAGAAGCCACGUGAGAAAGAAUGUCCCCUCGGUGACCACGUGCUAGUGAGACGGAUCUGCGGCGUGGAGUAGAUACGGAAGGCUUGGUGACGGGACAAUAAGGUUUACCAGCAGCCUGGCCUUAACUUCGCAGCUGUUUGAGGCAGUUGCCCGGCUGAAGUUGGGACGGAUUGUCCAGCGGAAGGUCAGCUUCUCAGGCUCACAAGCUUGAGUGGCCUAAACCAAUGUCAAUCAAAAUUUUUAUUUUUUUUUAAAUAAAAAUCUAUAUUAUUCAAU
This is a long non-coding RNA of Sorex araneus (European shrew), 731 nucleotides long. RefSeq lists it as uncharacterized. The record is from RefSeq and is a predicted model, not a curated record. NCBI's taxonomy places the organism in Eukaryota, Metazoa, Chordata, Mammalia, Eulipotyphla, Soricidae. The transcript has 5 exons.